CUGAAACCCAUACAUUUAAGUUGACAAUUAUAUAAGAAUUUUGAAAUAUUUUACUAUUAUUAUAUUUUGAAAUAUAAUAUUAAUUUUAGUACUCUGUGUUGCGAGAGAGGACAACAGUUUUGUUCACCUAAAUCGGGGAUGGGAAAAUGUUUAUCCCGCAAGGUUAUAAUUGUGCGAACGAAGGCUAGAUAAAGGGAAUAUCAUUUUACGGAAGGAAGGGCAUAAAAAGUUGCGAAAAAUUCAAUUACAUUCCUAACAAAUAAGGAAGGCUAAGAGAAAUACUUUAUGUUCUAAAACGUCAACCUGAGGAUCGAAAUCCAAAUCGAUAUGGAUACACCGGUAACCCCCACGCCAACUCUCCGUUCGGCUGUUACUGUGCCUCGCUCCGGAACUGUUCCAGUAGCAGCGCCCCGAACCAUCACGGCAGCCACGGCGCCAACCGUGACACGAAGCUCAACAUGCGCAGCACCGACGCCGGCGCCUCCGAAACCGCACCGCACCAGAUGUUCGCUCUGUUGCCGUUCUCAUAGGCUGCAGCAUUGCUCUAUUUUCAAGGGAAUGUUACCCGUACAACGUCAGAAGGUGGCACAGGCACAUGGGCAUUGUUUAAACUGCUUGGCCCAGUCACACGCCACGCUUGAAUGCGAAUCUGAUACCUUGUGCCGGUUGUGUGAAAGACCGCAUCAUACGUUACUCCACCGGAACGCCGGACAUCCUGGCUCACCAACUGUCCUCCGCCGCCGUACGGCCACCCGACGAUCGCAGCCUAACCGUGUGGCACGGCAUCUAGAAGCUGGAUGGUUCUGGCGCCUCCUCAAUACGACAUCCACGCGCAACCAAAUAAGGCCACAACCUCACCGCCCCACCGGCCUGAGCGGCGUUGUAGCUACGUUACAGGCACUACAGCGUCUACUAGGCUAGUACUCGCCGAACUAAUUUAACUAAAGGGCAUCACUGAUCAGUGAAUACAACACUCUCCACAUCAACAUGUUAAUUAGAAAAAAACAGGGCAUCACUGACCAGUGAAUACAACACUCUCCACAUCAACACGUUAAUUAGAAAAACAGGGCAUCAUUGAUCAUCUCCACACCAAACUGUUAUUGUUCCAUUUUUCAUUUUAUACCAACGAGAAGGUGACGCUGUGCCUUUUUUUGUUCUACACAGUUCUAGAAGUCACGUUCGCCGCUACACACACGCACCGCACCGUCUAUUUAAAACAUUUUUAACUUUGGAUUUUUGGCACCCUCCGGUCAUUUUAUAUAGAGAUCAUUCGUUUGUUAUUUGGCUUCUACCCGUUUUAUAUACAUUAACUUUGGUUUGGUAACGUUUAACCUUUGAGUAUCGCUACAUGCGAAAGAAAUUAGCGUAGUAUCCAGUGCUAUAACCUAAAAAGAAAUUGGCGUAGUAUCCAGUGCUAUAACCUAAAAGGAAGUUGGCGUAGUAUCCAGUGCUGUAACCUAAAAGGAAAUUGGUGUGGUGUGCUAAUCGCAUCAAAGAAGUUUUAUUCAGUGCUAUAACCUGAAAGUGAUUGACCGUCCAAACGUCCCAUUUCUACCGCUGUGUUGAUAGAUUAAUUAUCAUCUCAACUACCAUACGGUGUAAAAAUAUACAAUUCAUUUUUUAAACAUAUAUAAUUCAUUUUUAACCAUAUAUUGGUAAUAUAUACAACUUCCUUGUAAAAAUAUACAAAUUAUAGUAAGAAAAAAAAUACCUGGGUUUAUAAAUUAUUACUCUAAUAAAUAAAUUGUAUAUAACGUA
RNA transcript from Bactrocera dorsalis (oriental fruit fly), 1758 nucleotides. RefSeq lists it as uncharacterized. Lineage: Eukaryota; Metazoa; Arthropoda; Insecta; Diptera; Tephritidae. The transcript is spliced from 2 exons. The record is from RefSeq and is a predicted model, not a curated record.